CGGGACGGGUGAGUAAUGUCUGGGAAACUGCCUGAUGGAGGGGGAUAACUACUGGAAACGGCAGCUAAUACCGCAUAAUGUCGCAAGACCAAAGAGGGGGACCUUCGGGCCUCUUGCCAUCGGUAUGUGCCCAGAUGGGAUUAGUUUGUUGGUGGGGUAACGGCUCACCAAGGCGACGAUCCCUAGCUGGUCUGAGAGGAUGACCAGCCACACUGGAACUGAGACACGGUCCAG
This 234-nucleotide ribosomal RNA is filed under the name uncultured bacterium. RNAcentral's name for it is "partial 16S ribosomal RNA". It matches the Rfam family "Bacterial small subunit ribosomal RNA", at positions 100 to 334 of the family's 1533-position model. The record is from RNAcentral.